UCCUUCUUAGCUCAAUUGGUAGAGCGUGUCACUAUGGUGUUUCUGCGAAUUAGAAUCCUGUUUUAUGAAUCUAUGAUGACAAGGUUAGUCAUUCAAAUCGACUAGAAGGAA
Non-coding RNA from Rhodocollybia butyracea, 111 nucleotides. Lineage: Eukaryota; Fungi; Basidiomycota; Agaricomycetes; Agaricales; Omphalotaceae. The record is from the annotation of a GenBank genome assembly.